GAUGAAGAACGUAGCGAAAUGCGAUAAGUAAUGUGAAUUGCAGAAUUCAGUGAAUCAUCGAAUCUUUGAACGCACAUUGCGCCCCCUGGUAUUCCGGGGGGCAUGCCUGUUCGAGCGUCAUUUCACCACUCAAGCCUCGCUUGGUAUUGGGCAACGCGGUCCGCCGCGUGCCUCAAAUCGACCGGCUGGGUCUUCUGUCCCCUAAGCGUUGUGGAAACUAUUCGCUAAAGGGUGCUCGGGAGGCUACGCCGUAAAACAAACCCAUUUCUAAGGUUGACCUCGGAUCAGGUAGGGAUACCCGCUGAACUUAAGCAUAUCAAUAAGCGGAAGA
RNAcentral lists this unclassified non-coding RNA (331 nucleotides) under soil metagenome. RNAcentral's name for it is "partial contains 5.8S ribosomal RNA, internal transcribed spacer 2, and large subunit ribosomal RNA". The stretch from base 1 to 120 matches the Rfam family "5.8S ribosomal RNA", at positions 35 to 154 of the family's 154-position model. The record is from RNAcentral.